Vicia faba (fava bean) is the source of this 434-nucleotide non-coding RNA. The record is from the annotation of a GenBank genome assembly. NCBI's taxonomy places the organism in Eukaryota, Viridiplantae, Streptophyta, Magnoliopsida, Fabales, Fabaceae.
ACACACACAAAAAAUGCAACACAGUAGUUUACUUUCUCUUUGUUUCUAAUCUCUUCCUCACCAACAACAAAACAAAAAGCAAAAUAGCAUCUCAAAUUAUCUUCCUCUCUCUAGCGCUUUUUUUCAUUUGCUACCAUCACCCCCCUUCAAUUUGCCAACAACCAAAUCCCUACUUCCUUUUCUCUACCCCUUCCUUCUUCAAUCAAUUUCCACCACCCUUCUCCAUUCUACAACCCAUUACCCUUCGCCUUACAAAUCCCUUCUGCCUCCUUCCUCUUAACCUGUCAACCCACCAACCUUCACCAACUUACAGCAACCCCCUCCGCCUCUGUAACCCUUCCACACUUUCAUCAACUUCCACCCUUCAAUCCCUUACCCACCUACUGUCCAGCUUCGCAAACACACAACCCGCCUGUUACUUCCAUUUCGGCUAG